CCUACGGGAGGCAGCAGUAAGGAAUAUUGGUCAAUGGACGCAAGUCUGAACCAGCCAUGCCGCGUGGAGGAUGAAGGUCCUCUGGAUUGUAAACUUCUUUUAUAUGGGGCGAAACAGCGGGUUUCUACCUGCCUUGACGGUACCAUAUGAAUAAGCACCGGCUAACUCCGUGCCAGCAGCCGCGGUAAUACGGAGGGUGCAAGCGUUAUCCGGAUUCACUGGGUUUAAAGGGUGCGUAGGCGGGCAAUUAAGUCAGUGGUGAAAUCCUGGAGCUUAACUCCAGAACUGCCAUUGAUACUAUUUGUCUUGAAUUUCCUGGAGGUCAGCGGAAUAUGUCAUGUAGCGGUGAAAUGCUUAGAUAUGACGUAGAACACCUAUUGCGAAGGCAGCUGACUACGGGUAGAUUGACGCUGAGGCACGAAAGCGUGGGGAUCAAACAGGAUUAGAUACCCUGGUAGUCCACGCCCUAAACGAUGGAUACUCGACAUACGCGAUACACUGUGUGUGUCUGAGCGAAAGCAUUAAGUAUCCCACCUGGGAAGUACGACCGCAAGGUUGAAACUCAAAGGAAUUGACGG
RNAcentral lists this ribosomal RNA (578 nucleotides) under Sediminibacterium sp. XWS-35. RNAcentral's name for it is "bacterial SSU rRNA". It matches the Rfam family "Bacterial small subunit ribosomal RNA", at positions 338 to 916 of the family's 1533-position model. Lineage: Bacteria; Pseudomonadati; Bacteroidota; Chitinophagia; Chitinophagales; Chitinophagaceae. The record is from RNAcentral.